Molecule: ribosomal RNA, 118 nt
Filed under: Capra hircus (goat)
Lineage: Eukaryota; Metazoa; Chordata; Mammalia; Artiodactyla; Bovidae
Source: RNAcentral
GUCUACGCCAUACCACCCUGAACGCGCCCGAUCUCGUCUGAUCUCGGAAGCUAAGCAGGGUCGGGCCCGGUUAGUACUUGGAUGGGAGACCGCCUGGGAAUACCGGGUGCUGUAGGCU